Molecule: long non-coding RNA, 1595 nt
Filed under: Salmo salar (Atlantic salmon)
Lineage: Eukaryota; Metazoa; Chordata; Actinopteri; Salmoniformes; Salmonidae
Description: lncRNA (ENSSSAG00000093112.1)
Source: RNAcentral
GCAGCAGAGAUAAUAACAGAGAGUGGCAGCAGAGAUAAUAACAGAGAGUGGCAGCAGAGAUAAUAACAGAGAGUGGCAGCAGAGAUAAUAACAGAGAGUGGCAGCAGAGAUAAUAACAGAGAGUGGCAGCAGAGAUAAUAACAGAGAUAAUAACAGAGUAGCAGCAGAGAUAAUAACAGAGAAUAGCAGCAGAGAUAAUAACAGAGAGUAGCAGCAGAGAUAAUAACAGAGAGUAGCAGCAGAGAUAAUAACAGAGAGUAGCAGCAGAGAUAAUAACAGAGAGUAGCAGCAGAGAUAAUAACAGAGUAGCAGCAGAGAUAAUAACAGAGAGUAGCAGCAGAGAUAAUAACAGAGAGUAGCAGCAGAGAUAAUAACAGAGUAGCAGCAGAGAUAAUAACAGAGAGUAGCAGCAGAGAUAAUAACAGAGAGUAGCAGCAGAGAUAAUAACAGAGAGUAGCAGCAGAGAUGAGAGUAGCAGCAGAGAUAAUAACAGAGAGUAGCAGCAGAGAUGAGAGUAGCAGCAGAGAUAAUAACAGAGAGUAGCAGCAGAGAUAAUAACAGAGAGUAGCAGCAGAGAUAAUAACAGAGAGUAGCAGCAGAGAUAAUAACAGAGAGUAGCAGCAGAGAUGAGAGUAGCAGCAGAGAUAAUAACAGGGACUAGCAGCAGAGAUAAUAACAGAGUAGCAGCGUAGAAGAUAAUAACGAGUUCAGCUUCUAGGUGUUCCUUCCUGUUACCAUAGCAAGAUUUAUGUGAUGCCUCCGCUGAUCUGUGAGAGAUGCUGUGAGGUGGAGAUGUCACUAGAGUUUCACCUGAGAGAUGCUGUGAGGUGUAGACGUCACUAGAGUUUCACCUGAGAGAUGCUGUGAGGUGGAGACGUCACUAGAGUUUCACCUGAGAGGUGCUGUGAGGUGGAGACGUCACUAGAGUUUCACCUGAGAGAUGCUGUGAGGUGGAGACGUCACUAGAGUUUCACCUGAGAGAUGCUGUGAGGUGGAGACGUCAGUGUUUCACCUGAGAGAUGCUGUGAGGUGGAGACGUUACCAGUGUUUCACCUGAGAGAUGCUGUGAGGUGGAGACGUCACUAGAGUUUCACCUGAGAGAUGCUGUGAGGUGGAGAUGUUACCAGAGUUUCACCUGAGAGAUGCUGUGAGGUGUAAAUCAUCAUGGGUUCAUCAUCUGAAAUAGAAUAUAGAUCGUAUAUACAGUAUAUGUGUGAUAGAUUCAUCUGUUUUGACCACAUCUCACUACUGUAUUGCUCUUGCUAUGCUACUGUAGUAGCUGUAUAGUAGAGAUAGUGUAUAGCAUUACUGUACAGCGACCUCUGCUCUCCCCAGCUAAGUGGAUGAGAAAGAGUAGCAUUACACUAUUUUAUACAUUGAUUCUAAUAUGGUACCUAUGGAACAGCAGCGGUAGAAACUAGAGAUGAGACCCAGUUAACCAGAGAGACCUAUGGAACAGCAGCGGUAGAAACUAGAGAUGAGACCCAGUUAACCAGAGAGACCUAUGGAACAGCAGCGGUAGAAACUAGAGAUGAGACCCAGUUAACCAGAGAGACCUAUGGAACAGCAGCGGUAGAAACUAGAGAUGAGACCCA